Molecule: ribosomal RNA, 253 nt
Filed under: uncultured bacterium
Lineage: Bacteria
Description: partial 16S ribosomal RNA
Rfam family: Bacterial small subunit ribosomal RNA
Source: RNAcentral
UACGUAGGGGGCAAGCGUUAUCCGGAUUUACUGGGUGUAAAGGGAGCGUAGACGGAAUUGCAAGUCUGAUGUGAAAAUCCGGGGCCCAACCCCGGAACUGCAUUGGAAACUGUAUUUCUAGAGUGUCGGAGAGGCAAGUGGAAUUCCUAGUGUAGCGGUGAAAUGCGUAGAUAUUAGGAGGAACACCAGUGGCGAAGGCGGCCUGCUGGGCUUUUACUGACGCUGAGGCUCGAAAGUGUGGGGAGCAAACAGG